GCCUGGGUGGCUCAGUCGGUUAAGCGUCUGACUUCGGCUCAGGUCAUGAUCUCGCGGUCCGUGGGUUCGAGCCCCGCGUCGGGCU
RNAcentral lists this transfer RNA (85 nucleotides) under Felis catus (domestic cat). It matches the Rfam family "tRNA". From Rfam's summary of the family: Transfer RNA (tRNA) molecules are approximately 80 nucleotides in length. The record is from Rfam by way of RNAcentral. Lineage: Eukaryota; Metazoa; Chordata; Mammalia; Carnivora; Felidae. RNAcentral also lists the same sequence under 4 other names.